RNAcentral lists this long non-coding RNA (1134 nucleotides) under Spirodela polyrhiza (greater duckweed). RNAcentral describes it as "long non-coding RNA (SPOL_LNC000293)". The record is from RNAcentral. Lineage: Eukaryota; Viridiplantae; Streptophyta; Magnoliopsida; Alismatales; Araceae.
UCUCCCCUCCCCCCCCCCCCCAAAAAAAAUUAAAUAAAUAAGGGGAACUCCUCUGCCCCACCGCCCCUUGUAAAUUCCCUCCGCCGUUUGCUGCUUCUCCGCCCGCUUGUGAGUGUGACCUUAGUAUGCUCCGUCUGUUUUCCCUGUAAAUCACACGAUGCGUCCACGUACCCCCCAUCCCUCGGUCUCCCUGAUUUGUUCCAAGAACCCAAGGUCCGCCGUUGUAUCUUUUAUCCCAAUUGUAGCCUAUCCGCUGGUUCGACCUUGCUCGCGUUGAUCCAAUGCCUCUUGUUGUUUUGAAAUGCCCCAUCGGACGGCCACCAUCUCUCGCCCUGCCUGCGCCAGCUGUCGCUGGCGCAGGGAAAAAAAUAGUUGAUUAAUACGCUCGGAUGCGUAGUCAUCCAUCCGCAGCAGGUGAGAAGGCACGCCACGCAGCUGUUCCCAUCCGUCAUCGUCACCCGGUCACCCACUCGCCCACGUCAGCAAGCAAUUGAUCGAAAUUACUCAUUUAUAGAAUAAUAGUAAUAAUAAUGAUAAUAAAGCCACGGGUAAUCUCUCAGGUUCUCGAUUUCCCAGGCUGCGCCUCCCGGCCUAGAAGCCCGUUUACGCGGAGGAAGGCACGGUAGGCCCAAUGGGCCAGUAUCGAAUAUGGUCAUGGGGCCCAUAAGCCCACCCCUGGUGGGCCGCCGGCAUUUAAGUCGGGAACAUGGAAGCAUGGGGGAGCAGUAAAUGUGGCGCCGGGCGCGCGCUGACAACGGGCCCCACCGGGAAUCGGACAGGAUGGACGCCCCGCCCUCUUUCCGGAUCCCCUUCCCAGACCCGCUGACCACUCCGCGGGCGUUCGAGCAGGCUCCGCCUUAAUCGGCAAACAAUAAUAAUAAUACUGAUGACAUAUCAUUAUUUAAAUUGGGAGUCGUCGGCGUUCCCUCCCAGCCGUCCAAAGCACAAUAGCGAGGGUCAGCCGUGAAUUCCUGGCACCGUGGUCAACGCUGUCGGAGCAAGCCUCGUGGAGUUUUAGAUAUGUGUGGGCCCCGCCAUUUCCUCUUCUAGAUGGAGCCGGGUAUGAAAAACCGGCGAAGGAGAAAAGUCCACGGAGUGAGAAGGCGCUGACUGGAUGGACGAGGGAUGGGGGGU